AUGAAUAGUAAUAGGGCUCCUGGGUCGGAUAGCAUUCCAGCCGAGUUUUACCAGCAUUGCUGGGAGAUAGUAAAGAAUGACAUCAUGAGUUUGUUUCAUGCUUUUCAUGAAGGGAGGUUGGAUGUUUAUAGGUUGAACUAUGGCAUCAUUACCCUUCUUCCCAAGAUUUUUGGAGCAGAUAAGAUUCAACAAUUCAGGCCAAUAUGUUUGUUGAGAUGCCCUUAUAAACUGAUUACAAAAGUUCUAGACAAUAGACUGGCCCUUUUUGCUGAUGUUUUGUUUAGCAAACAUCAAAAUGCCUUUAUCAAAGGCAGGAAUAUUAUGGAUGGGGUUCUAUCUUUGCGCGAGGUUCUUCAUCAUAACUAUGUUAAGAAAAAUGUGGUAUUGUCAUUAAGCUCGAUUUUGAGAAAGCGUAGGACAAGGUUAACUGGGACUUCCUUCUGA
This 444-nucleotide ribosomal RNA is filed under the name Triticum aestivum (bread wheat). Its description in RNAcentral is "partial small subunit ribosomal RNA". The record is from RNAcentral. Lineage: Eukaryota; Viridiplantae; Streptophyta; Magnoliopsida; Poales; Poaceae.